This 500-nucleotide ribosomal RNA is filed under the name uncultured bacterium. Its description in RNAcentral is "partial 16S ribosomal RNA". It matches the Rfam family "Bacterial small subunit ribosomal RNA", at positions 30 to 523 of the family's 1533-position model. The record is from RNAcentral.
AUUGAACGCUGGCGGAAUGCUUUACACAUGCAAGUCGAACGGCAGCACGGACUUCGGUCUGGUGGCGAGUGGCGAACGGGUGAGUAAUGUAUCGGAACGUGCCCAGUCGUGGGGGAUAACGUAGUGAAAAUUACGCUAAUACCGCAUACGAGCUAUGGAUGAAUGCGGGGGAUCGCAAGACCUCGUGCGAUAGGAGCGGCAGAUAUCAGAGUAGGUAGUUGGUGGGGUAAAGGCCCACCAAGCCAACGAUCUGUCGCUGGUCUGAGAGGACGACCAGCCACACUGGAACUGAGACACGGUCCAGACUCCUACGGGAGGCAGCAGUGGGGAAUUUUGGACAAUGGGCGCAAGCCUGAUCCAGCCAUUCCGCGUGCAGGAUGAAGGCCCUCGGGUUGUAAACUGCUUUUGUACAGAACGAAAAGGUUUCUACUAAUACUAGGAGCUCAUGACGGUACUGUAAGAAUAAGCACCGGCUAACUACGUGCCAGCCGCCGCCGUAA